RNAcentral lists this ribosomal RNA (913 nucleotides) under uncultured bacterium. RNAcentral describes it as "bacterial SSU rRNA". It matches the Rfam family "Bacterial small subunit ribosomal RNA", at positions 55 to 975 of the family's 1533-position model. The record is from RNAcentral.
AUGCAGUCGAGGGGUAUAGGUUUUCGGACCUAGAGACCGGCGCACGGGUGCGUAACGCGUAUGCAAUCUACCUUUUACAGAGGGAUAGCCCAGAGAAAUUUGGAUUAAUACCUCAUAGUAUUAUUGAAUGGCAUCAUUUAAUAAUUAAAGUCACAACGGUAAAAGAUGAGCAUGCGUCCCAUUAGCUUGUUGGUAAGGUAACGGCUUACCAAGGCAACGAUGGGUAGGGGUCCUGAGAGGGAGAUCCCCCACACUGGUACUGAGACACGGACCAGACUCCUACGGGAGGCAGCAGUGAGGAAUAUUGGUCAAUGGGCGCAAGCCUGAACCAGCCAUGCCGCGUGCAGGAUGACGGUCCUAUGGAUUGUAAACUGCUUUUGUACAGGAAGAAACAGUUCUACGUGUAGAACCUUGACGGUACUGUAAGAAUAAGGAUCGGCUAACUCCGUGCCAGCAGCCGCGGUAAUACGGAGGAUCCAAGCGUUAUCCGGAAUCAUUGGGUUUAAAGGGUCCGUAGGCGGUUUUGUAAGUCAGUGGUGAAAGCCCAUCGCUCAACGGUGGAACGGCCAUUGAUACUGCAAGACUUGAAUUAUUAGGAAGUAACUAGAAUAUGUAGUGUAGCGGUGAAAUGCUUAGAGAUUACAUGGAAUACCAAUUGCGAAGGCAGGUUACUACUAAUUGAUUGACGCUGAUGGACGAAAGCGUGGGGAGCGAACAGGAUUAGAUACCCUGGUAGCCCACGCCGUANACGAUGGAUACUAGCUGUUCGGAGCAAUCUGAGUGGCUAAGCGAAAGUGAUAAGUAUCCCACCUGGGGAGUACGUUCGCAAGAAUGAAACUCAAAGGAAUUGACGGGGGCCCGCACAAAGCGUGGAGCAUGUGGUUUAAUUCGAUGAUACGCGAGGAACCUUACC